Molecule: ribosomal RNA, 478 nt
Filed under: uncultured Vibrio sp.
Lineage: Bacteria; Pseudomonadati; Pseudomonadota; Gammaproteobacteria; Vibrionales; Vibrionaceae
Description: bacterial SSU rRNA
Rfam family: Bacterial small subunit ribosomal RNA
Source: RNAcentral
AGAGUUUGAUCAUGGCUCAGAUUGAACGCUGGCGGCAGGCCUAACACAUGCAAGUCGAGCGGAAACGAGUUAUCUGAACCUUCGGGGAACGAUAACGGCGUCGAGCGGCGGACGGGUGAGUAAUGCCUGGGAAAUUGCCCUGAUGUGGGGGAUAACCAUUGGAAACGAUGGCUAAUACCGCAUAAUAGCUUCGGCUCAAAGAGGGGGACCUUCGGGCCUCUCGCGUCAGGAUAUGCCCAGGUGGGAUUAGCUAGUUGGUGAGGUAAGGGCUCACCAAGGCAACGAUCCCUAGCUGGUCUGAGAGGAUGAUCAGCCACACUGGAACUGAGACACGGUCCAGACUCCUACGGGAGGCAGCAGUGGGGAAUAUUGCACAAUGGGCGCAAGCCUGAUGCAGCCAUGCCGCGUGUAUGAAGAAGGCCUUCGGGUUGUAAAGUACUUUCAGCAGUGAGGAAGGUUCAUAUGUUAAUAGCGUAGG